GGGGGGCGGGGGGGGGGGGGUGCGGGCGUGCAGGGCGAGGGGGGGGGCGCGGCGGUUGGGGGGUGCGCGAGGGGCGAGCGGGUGCGUCGCGCGUGGGUGACCUGCCCUUGCCUGUGGGAUAGCUUCAGGAAACUUGGGCCAAUACCGGCUCGGAGCUCCCGCCUCCUGGGUGGGGUUGGGAAGGUGCGGCGGUUGGUGGUGGACUCGCGGCUUAUCGGCUUGGCGGUGGGGUCGUGGCUUACCAGGGCGUGGACGGGUAGCCGGCCUGAGAGGGUGACCGGCCACAUUGGGACUGAGAUACGGCCCAGACUCCUACGGGAGGCAGCAGUGGGGAAUAUUGCACAAUGGGCGGAAGACUGAUGCAGCAACGCCGCGUGCGGGAUGACGGCCUUCGGGUUGUAAACCGCUUUCGCCUGUGACGAAGCGUGAGUGAAGGUAAUGGGUAAAGAAGCACCGGCUAACUACGUG
This 468-nucleotide ribosomal RNA is filed under the name uncultured bacterium. RNAcentral's name for it is "partial 16S ribosomal RNA". The stretch from base 49 to 468 matches the Rfam family "Bacterial small subunit ribosomal RNA", at positions 39 to 507 of the family's 1533-position model. The record is from RNAcentral.